GCGAAACAAUUGUCAACACCUUUUUACAAAACAAAAGUCGGUUUUUUAUAUGUUCUAUCCCCGGUUGGCACACUGCAAUUUAUUAAUUAUGCAACGGUGAAGUGCAAAUAUGGAAUUUUAAAUACUCUUACAUCAUAUUAAGUGAUCCCAAAUGUUGUUUUUAGUACGCAAACGGCUUACAAGAUGAUUUUUGUUAUUUGGCCUAUCGAAAGCUGUUUAUUUAUACUGCGGUCUAUAAUUAAAUAUAAAUUGGUUUGAACGCAUUAUUUUUUGUUCGAGUUUACCUACAACUCCUACGAAUUCGCCUUGUUUUUUUCGAACUUGAAUAUCCUUGGAAAACGGAACGACAGCACUCGACAUCUUUAGAAAAACAACCCCUGAGAAAAACGGGCGACUGGAACAAAAGUUUGUUAUUUUCCUAUAUAGCACCCCGCACCACGGACCCCGGACCCCGGACCAUGGACCCCGGACCCCGGACCCCACAACUUGUUUUGGUUAAAUUUUUGUUACAUGUACUUCAUUACACCCCGGACCCCGCACCCUGGACCCUGGACCACCCAACUUGUUUUGGUUAAAUUUUUGUUACAUGUACUUAAUUACACCCCGGACCACGCAACCCGCACCACGGACCACGGACCCCGGACGCCGCACCCCGGACCCCGCACCACGC
This is a long non-coding RNA of Drosophila santomea, 670 nucleotides long. RefSeq lists it as uncharacterized. The record is from RefSeq and is a predicted model, not a curated record. The transcript is spliced from 4 exons. NCBI's taxonomy places the organism in Eukaryota, Metazoa, Arthropoda, Insecta, Diptera, Drosophilidae.